Molecule: long non-coding RNA, 450 nt
Filed under: Ananas comosus (pineapple)
Lineage: Eukaryota; Viridiplantae; Streptophyta; Magnoliopsida; Poales; Bromeliaceae
Description: long non-coding RNA (ACOM_LNC034031)
Source: RNAcentral
GUCUCUGCGCAGUCAUGUUACCGCUGACACGAGGAAGUGUACCGGUACACUUUGGGCUUGUAACAUAUCAGAUUUUGAUAUAAAAGUAAAAAAGAAAUAAAAAUAGUGUGAGAUACUAUUUUUAUUGGAUUUAGAGAAGUAAAAUAUAAGUCGGAAACGACUUGUGCUGAAAUCGGAACGAAAAAAAAAGAUUUAGAAUUUUCUGUGAGAAACGAGACUGAUAUUUUAGAAGAAAAUGCACAGUGUCAGAAAAUUAUGAAAACUGGAGAAUAUGUCGGAAUUAUUUUUAUGAGGCUAGAUUUAAAGUUUCAUGUCAAUCCGUUACCCAGAAGGUGGAAAGUAAAAUUCGACUACUAUAUGCUAGAGAUUACAGUUCGGUAGAGCUUUCGGUGAGCAAAUAUGGUCGAAACUGAAAGAUUAAAAUUUCUUUGUACUUAUUCAGUAAAACUG